This 253-nucleotide ribosomal RNA is filed under the name uncultured bacterium. RNAcentral describes it as "partial 16S ribosomal RNA". It matches the Rfam family "Bacterial small subunit ribosomal RNA", at positions 524 to 776 of the family's 1533-position model. The record is from RNAcentral.
UACAGAGGUCCCAAGCGUUGUUCGGAUUCACUGGGCGUAAAGGGUGCGUAGGCGGUGAGGUAAGUCUGACGUGAAAUCUCCGGGCCUAACCCGGAAACUGCGUUGGAUACUAUCUCGCUAGAGGAAUGGAGGGGAGACUGGAAUACUUGGUGUAGCAGUGAAAUGCGUAGAUAUCAAGUGGAACACCAGUGGCGAAGGCGAGUCUCUGGACAUUUCCUGACGCUGAGGCACGAAAGCCAGGGGAGCAAACGGG